UAAAUACUCUCUAGUGACCGAUAGUGAACCAGUACCGUGAGGGAAAGGUGAAAAGUACCCCGGAAGGGGAGUGAAAGAGAACUUGAAACCGUGUGCUUACAAGUAGUCAGAGCCCGUUAAUGGGUGAUGGCGUGCCUUUUGUAGAAUGAACCGGCGAGUUACGAUCUGAUGCAAGGUUAAGCAGCAAAUGUGGAGCCGCAGCGAAAGCGAGUCUGAAUAGGGCGUUGAGUAUUUGGUCGUAGACCCGAAACCAGGUGAUCUACCCUUGGUCAGGUUGAAGUUCAGGUAACACUGAAUGGAGGACCGAACCGACUUACGUUGAAAAGUGAGCGGAUGAACUGAGGGUAGCGGAGAAAUUCCAAUCGAACUUGGAGAUAGCUGGUUCUCUCCGAAAUAGCUUUAGGGCUAGCCUCAAGUGAUGAUUAUUGGAGGUAGAGCACUGUUUGGACGAGGGGCCCCUCUCGGGUUACCGAAUUCAGACAAACUCCGAAUGCCAAUUAAUUUAACUUGGGAGUCAGAACAUGGGUGAUAAGGUCCGUGUUCGAAAGGGAAACAGCCCAGACCACCAGCUAAGGUCCCAAAAUAUAUGUUAAGUGGAAAAGGAUGUGGCGUUGCCCAGACAACUAGGAUGUUGGCUUAGAAGCAGCCAUCAUUUAAAGAGUGCGUAAUAGCUCACUAGUCGAGUGACACUGCGCCGAAAAUGUACCGGGGCUAAACAUAUUACCGAAGCUGUGGAUUGUCCUUUGGACAAUGGUAGGAGAGCGUUCUAAGGGCGUCGAAGCAUGAUCGCAAGGACAUGUGGAGCGCUUAGAAGUGAGAAUGCCGGUGUGAGUAGCGAAAGACGGGUGAGAAUCCCGUCCACCGAUUGACUAAGGUUUCCAGAGGAAGGCUCGUCCGCUCUGGGUUAGUCGGGUCCUAAGCUGAGGCCGACAGGCGUAGGCGAUGGAUAACAGGUUGAUAUUCCUGUACCACCUAGUAUCGUUUUAAUCGAUGGGGGGACGCAGUAGGAUAGGCGAAGCGUGCUGUUGGAGUGCACGUCCAAGCAGUAAGGCUGAGUGUUAGGCAAAUCCGGCACUCAUAAGGCUGAGCUGUGAUGGGGAGAGGAAAUUGUUUCCUCGAGUCGUUGAUUUCACACUGCCGAGAAAAGCCUCUAGAUAGAUAACAGGUGCCCGUACCGCAAACCGACACAGGUAGUCAAGAUGAGAAUUCUAAGGUGAGCGAGCGAACUCUCGUUAAGGAACUCGGCAAAAUGACCCCGUAACUUCGGGAGAAGGGGUGCUCUUUAGGGUUCACGCCCAGAAGAGCCGCAGUGAAUAGGCCCAAGCGACUGUUUAUCAAAAACACAGGUCUCUGCUAAACCGUAAGGUGAUGUAUAGGGGCUGACGCCUGCCCGGUGCUGGAAGGUUAAGAGGAGUGGUUAGCUUCUGCGAAGCUACGAAUCGAAGCCCCAGUAAACGGCGGCCGUAACUAUAACGGUCCUAAGGUAGCGAAAUUCCUUGUCGGGUAAGUUCCGACCCGCACGAAAGGCGUAACGAUUUGGGCACUGUCUCAACGAGAGACUCGGUGAAAUCAUAGUACCUGUGAAGAUGCAGGUUACCCGCGACAGGACGGAAAGACCCCGUGGAGCUUUACUGUAGCCUGAUAUUGAAAUUCGGCACAGCUUGUACAGGAUAGGUAGGAGCCUUUGAAACGUGAGCGCUAGCUUACGUGGAGGCGUUGGUGGGAUACUACCCUAGCUGUGUUGGCUUUCUAACCCGCACCACUUAUCGUGGUGGGAGACAGUGUCAGGCGGGCAGUUUGACUGGGGCGGUCGCCUCCUAAAAGGUAACGGAGGCGCCCAAAGGUUCCCUCAGAAUGGUUGGAAAUCAUUCGCAGAGUGUAAAGGUAUAAGGGAGCUUGACUGCGAGAGCUACAACUCGAGCAGGGACGAAAGUCGGGCUUAGUGAUCCGGUGGUUCCGUAUGGAAGGGCCAUCGCUCAACGGAUAAAAGCUACCCCGGGGAUAACAGGCUUAUCUCCCCCAAGAGUUCACAUCGACGGGGAGGUUUGGCACCUCGAUGUCGGCUCGUCGCAUCCUGGGGCUGUAGUCGGUCCCAAGGGUUGGGCUGUUCGCCCAUUAAAGCGGUACGCGAGCUGGGUUCAGAACGUCGUGAGACAGUUCGGUCCCUAUCCGUCGUGGGCGUAGGAAAUUUGAGAGGAGCUGUCCUUAGUACGAGAGGACCGGGAUGGACAUACCUCUGGUGUACCAGUUGUCGUGCCAACGGCAUAGCUGGGUAGCUAUGUAUGGACGGGAUAAGUGCUGAAAGCAUCUAAGCAUGAAGCCCCCCUCAAGAUGAGAUUUCCCAACUUCGGUUAUAAGAUCCCUCGAAGAUGACGAGGUUAAUAGGUUCGAGGUGGAAGCGUGGUGACACGUGGAGCUGACGAAUACUAAUCGAUCGAAGACUUAAUCAA
This 2450-nucleotide ribosomal RNA is filed under the name human gut metagenome. RNAcentral's name for it is "bacterial LSU rRNA". It matches the Rfam family "Bacterial large subunit ribosomal RNA", at positions 467 to 2925 of the family's 2925-position model. The record is from RNAcentral.